This 484-nucleotide ribosomal RNA is filed under the name uncultured bacterium. RNAcentral's name for it is "partial 16S ribosomal RNA". It matches the Rfam family "Bacterial small subunit ribosomal RNA", at positions 30 to 507 of the family's 1533-position model. The record is from RNAcentral.
AUUGAACGCUGGCGGCAGGCCUAACACAUGCAAGUCGAGCGGAUGAAGGGAGCUUGCUCCUGGAUUCAGCGGCGGACGGGUGAGUAAUGCCUAGGAAUCUGCCUGGUAGUGGGGGAUAACGUCCGGAAACGGGCGCUAAUACCGCAUAAGUCCUGUGGGAGUACGUGGGGGAUCUUCGGACCUAAAGCUAUCAGAUGAGCCUAGGUCGGAUUAGCUAGUUGGUGGGGUAAAGGCCUACCCAGGCGACGAUCCGUAACUGGUCCGGGGGGGUGAUCAGGCACACUUGAACUGAGACACGGUCCAGACUCCUACGGGAGGCAGCAGUGGGUAAUAUGGGAGGAUGGACUGAGGCCUAAUCCAGCCAUGCCGCGUGUGUGAAGAAGGUCUUCUGAUUGUAAAACGCUUUAAGUUGGGAGGAAGAGCAGUAUGUUAAUACCUUGCUGUUUUGACGUUACCAGCAGAAGAAGCGCCGGCUAACUUCGUG